CCCCCCGCAGUGUCCCCACCAACCGUGCGGACCUGACCCUCCCCGGGUCAUUCCACGCCCACCGUUGCUGUCCCACUGGGAGCCUCAUGCCGAUGUCUCAAAUUGUCAGGAAGUUGGAGUGGCUUUGCUUUCUUUGUGGGGUCCCAGUUGCUGCCACGACAAAGUGCCACAUACUCAGCCACAUGGGUUCAUGAUCUGGCGAUCACAGAGGCCAGAAUCACGCCCUGGGUCUUGAGGGGCUGUGCUCAGGGUGUGGGCAGCACUUUGUCCUCCUGGAGCCUCGGGGGAGAAGCCGUGGCCGCACCUGUUCCAGCUUCUAGAGGAGCCGCGUCUCUGACCUUCUUCCAGGCGCUCCCCAGCCGUGGCGGCUUCCUCAGGACUCGGCCAGACAACCCAGGACCAUCACGCAUCUCAAGACCCUGCUUCGUCACAUCUGCAAAGUCCCUUUUCCCAGGCCAGUCCCGUCGUCACAGGCUCCAGGAUGGGAACGGCCUCAGUGCUCUGUUGCUCUUUGGGUUUGCUCUUCAGAGAAGCCCUGCCCCGUCUUCACCUAGUUUCUUUUCUCUUUUCUCUCUCUCUCUCUUUUUUUUUUUUUUUUUUUUUUUGUCUUUUGCUUUUUCUAGGGCUGCUCCUGUGACAUGUGGAGGUUCCCAGGCUAGGGGUCCAAUCAGAGCUGUAGCCACGUCUGUGACCCUACACCACAGCUCACGGCAACGCCGGAUCCUUAACCCGCUGAGCGAGGCCAGGGACCGAACCCGCAACCUCAUGGUUCCUAGUUGGAUUCGUUAACCACUGCGCCACGACGGGAACUCCUAGCCUAGUUUUCUGUCGCACGUAUUUGUCUUCCGCAUUAAUUCGCAGAAGAGCUUAGAACCGCGUAGCACCAACCUCUCAGCUUUAUGCUGAAGUCUUUGCAAAUUUUGUUGACAGAAGGUGGGAGCCCUGUGCAAACACGCUUCCGAAAGGACCCAUCCCUGAAAUCCCACUUUGUCACCUGGGUUCUUUCUCCUUCAGAGCAGAGAUUUUAGGUUCUGUUCCGCUGCUGAGAAGUCAAUGUGCGUGUGAGAGUGUCAGCGUGCGUGGCUCGGGCACUCACAGCUGGCGGACGGG
RNAcentral lists this long non-coding RNA (1110 nucleotides) under Sus scrofa (pig). RNAcentral describes it as "lncRNA (ENSSSCG00070012942.1)". Lineage: Eukaryota; Metazoa; Chordata; Mammalia; Artiodactyla; Suidae. The record is from RNAcentral.